AUUGAACGCUGGCGGCAGGCCUAACACAUGCAAGUCGAGCGGAUGAAGGGAGCUUGCUCCUGGAUUCAGCGGCGGACGGGUGAGUAAUGCCUAGGAAUCUGCCUGGUAGUGGGGGAUAACGUCCGGAAACGGGCGCUAAUACCGCAUACGUCCUGAGGGAGAAAGUGGGGGAUCUUCGGACCUCACGCUAUCAGAUGAGCCUAGGUCGGAUUAGCUAGUUGGUGGGGUAAAGGCCUACCAAGGCGACGAUCCGUAACUGGUCUGAGAGGAUGAUCAGUCACACUGGAACUGAGACACGGUCCAGACUCCUACGGGAGGCAGCAGUGGGGAAUAUUGGACAAUGGGCGAAAGCCUGAUCCAGCCAUGCCGCGUGUGUGAAGAAGGUCUUCGGAUUGUAAAGCACUUUAAGUUGGGAGGAAGGGCAGUAAGUUAAUACCUUGCUGUUUUGACGUUACCAACAGAAUAAGCACGGGCUGACUUCGUG
RNAcentral lists this ribosomal RNA (484 nucleotides) under uncultured bacterium. RNAcentral describes it as "partial 16S ribosomal RNA". It matches the Rfam family "Bacterial small subunit ribosomal RNA", at positions 30 to 507 of the family's 1533-position model. The record is from RNAcentral.